RNAcentral lists this long non-coding RNA (281 nucleotides) under Prunus persica (peach). RNAcentral describes it as "long non-coding RNA (PPER_LNC000421)". The record is from RNAcentral. Lineage: Eukaryota; Viridiplantae; Streptophyta; Magnoliopsida; Rosales; Rosaceae.
CCACCUGGGGAUACCCUUAAAGCACUUCCAGCGGCAAGGAGAAGACUGCACAGGAGAGGGCCUAGGCUUGCAUGAUGGCUCUAGCUCGCAAAAGCAAGCCUGGGCAAGGCGUGGGGUUACCAACCCGGCCAAGCCCGCAAGCAAAUCCAGUAUGUGCUACUGCUUGGGCAAGUGACGUAAUGUUGACGUCAUAAGCCAAUUUAAAUAACAAAAAAAAGGAAAAAAAUACCAAAAAUUUCAGAUUUUUUUAAUUAUUAAAUAAAUACCUAACCAUAUUCUUU